CAGUCGGUACUUCUCCGCGUUGGCGUUC
This 28-nucleotide non-coding RNA is filed under the name Bombyx mori (domestic silkworm). The record is from RNAcentral. Lineage: Eukaryota; Metazoa; Arthropoda; Insecta; Lepidoptera; Bombycidae.